RNAcentral lists this long non-coding RNA (281 nucleotides) under Vigna radiata. Its description in RNAcentral is "long non-coding RNA (VRAD_LNC004602)". The record is from RNAcentral. Lineage: Eukaryota; Viridiplantae; Streptophyta; Magnoliopsida; Fabales; Fabaceae.
UUCGUGUCUGUCCAUUGCUACUGUUAGAAUGUUCUUAGGCUCUCUUUCUUUUAGAUUUGAAUCUCUUUUAGUUUGGUAGGUUCUUUUUAGGUUGUAUUCUGUCAAGUCUUAGAUUUUAUAGGUUGUAUAUAGUUUUAGGUCAUUAUGUUAGACAUUUCUAGGUUCUUUUUGAGUUCUAUUUCAUUGGUUUUCUCAAUUCUUUGCUGAUUUUAUUCAUUUCUUAGUUGUAUUUCUCUUAAUUGAAUUGUUAAUGUUAUUCUUUGCUUUAGAUUCAAGUAGAG